CUAACUAAAACCUACUGUUGAGAAAAUUCCACUGGCUAUUCCUUUGAAUUCUUGAGGAUCUUGGGUGUGGUAUUUGCAUCUGCCCUUCUCACUGAGAACCAAAGUACUUGUUUCACCUAGACUGCUUGGACAGUUACGAUCAUAUGGUUUCGGCUAAGAGGAUGAACUUGGCAUCCCUUGACCACAUGUGGGUGCAAUAUUGAAAUCUGAGCCAAUUUCUGGUGUAUCACUCAGCUUUCUCUUUUUCUAGUCCCUGGGAAUUUCCAAAUUGAGCUGCAACACAUGGUGAGAUUUCGUAAAUGUAUUACAUUCCAAAUAAUGCAUCCAAAUAUAUUGCAUUUCAAACAGUGACAAAUGUAAGUAGACAACAAAAUCACUUAAAGAAUGCAAUAAAAGAGACCUAAAAAAUCAUUCAAGUCAAUUAUAUUCCAAUAUUAUUUUCUGUUCACUGGUGCUUAAAAGGUCCUUUGACUUCUACAUACACUAGUCUGUAGAGGUAAUGAUAAUUUUUAGAAUUCCAGUAACAAUAUCUUAGGUAUUUCUUCAGAUAAACUCUUUUCCUCCUUGGUAGUCUCAAUUUUUUGAACAUUUGAAUCUAAAAAUGGAAGCAGUUUAGCAUCUAGUUCCUCUUCAAAUAAACUCUUUUUAGGUGUCCACCUACGAGAAGCUCCCCUACUAUUUAACCUUUUUAAUUACGUUUAUAAUAUAAACAUAUCUUUUAAUAUUUUUAAACCCAUCUAUGGAGUUAAAUGUUGAUAUUUCUUUAUAGCAAUGUCUGGUCCUUCUAGGUACUUCUCUAUAACUUACAUUCUAUUAAUCGCUACAUCAUAUAUCUAGUCUUUCUAGGUACUUCUCCCUAACUUAUAUUUUAUUGAUGACUGCAUCAUAUUUUAUAGUUGUUGCUAACUUUUAGUAAUUUGAAGUCAACAGAAAAAAACGAUAACUUUGUUUGAAAUUAUUGCGUAUCAUCCAAAAAAAAAAUUGUUUUUUGCUAUUGAUAGGCUACUAAGCUUUAACUAUUUAAGUAUACCAAUGCAAAAGAAGUUACAUCCCAUGAUAAAUCUUAAUCUGGAUAUUUGUUCUCCUUGACAUAUAUGCUUUCUCAAAUUGUAGCUAACAAACUAAAAAACAAACAAAUAACUAAAAACAAUGGAAAAGAGAGCCUAGAGAUGGUGGUUUGGCUUUGAAUUGUUGUUUUGCAAUGUGUCAGAAAGCCUAUAUGAGGCCAUUUUUAGAUAUCUUAAUAGCCUAAAUUACUGCACAAUUUGCAUCUAAAUGAUCGUUUGUUUUAAUAUUAACACAUGAAGUCUUUCACCAGUGGUCCCUCUCAUCAAUGGUAACUUUGAUGCCUCAUCAAAGAACAAGAAAUCAACACUGUUCCACUAAAGUAUCAUGAUUAGUUCUUCCUUCAACACUUCAUUGAAAUUUAUCUUAGUAGAAAACCAAAACCAACAGCAAUUCUCAUCAGGUUGAGAAUUUGAAGAACACAACUUGAUAUUUAAGAAUUAAAUAUCUUUAAGUCAUCUUUAAUAGUCUUCUAGAAGAGUAGAUAUUAAGAACAUCAGUAGAAAGCAUUGUACGGUUUUCAAACUUCUAUUUCCUCACGAAAUACUUGUCUUUGGAACUAACAUGAAAUUCAACUCCUUUAUUCUUCUUCUCGUUCUCCCUAUAAUAACUUUUUACUUAGUUUUACAUAAUAUAUAACCAAUAAAUUUAGAUUUUGAAGACAAUAAUAGCUAAAAUCACUAGAUAGAUUGGGGAUACAAUUAGUAAAGUAAUUUAUAGAAAGUUUCAACUAAAAGAUGACUUUAAUAGGGACUAAUGUGGUGGGUUAUUUUUGGAAAUGGGCUAUCUACCCCAAUAGGAGAAAAAGUUACAAUUGAGACCCUUAGGUUAGAGUCCUUAAAGAAAGAAAGACAAACUGUCCUUAGGUUAAAGACCAACAACAUACCUUAAGAAGAACCUUGUUGGUAUUAAAUAAUUGGGGGCAUAAACAUAUGUUUGUAAGUGAAAGUUCCUAAAUUUUAGCAAAUUCAAUUGAAUACAAAUAAAAGUACAUCAAAGCUGGUAUUGCUUGUUGUGUUAUAUGGAUGAUCAUGUAGCUAAUGACAUAUUAGUGAGUUGUGUGCUUAUUACCAACUACGUAUUAUGAUCCCUUGUAUUUUUGUUUAAAUUUUACAAUAACAUCUUCUACUAUAAAAUUUUUAUAUAGUUUUAAUUAUAGCAAAGAGUCUUCUACUUCAUUAAGUAAUUCUAAGAUUAAUUCUUGUUCUCUAGAGAUAAAAUUUAUUAUUUUAGGUUGACAAUCAUAUUUACCUUUGAUGCACUUUUCUUGAUCACUAGAGAUUUGACUUACACUUUCAUUAGUAUCUUCAAGAUGGUUAAUAUGGUCUUCAUUAUUUGAUUUAGUCAUGGAUUCAGAUUUUGAGAUGUUUAGCAUUGAAUCACAUAACAUAUUUUUUACUUGAUCUAAAGCAUUCAAUCAUUAAUUCCUUUUUUUAAUUUUACAAUCUUUCUUAAAAUGUCUAACUUUCCCACAUUUAUAGCAUAUUGGAUUUGAGUGUGACGAAGUUUCUAUUUUCUUAUGAGGUUCUUCUAUGGAUUUUCUUAUGUUAUGCCUUAGUCUUUUAGUUUUUUUUUUUUCUAUAUUCCAUGUGUUCCUUUUUUGUUAUGGAAAGCUUUUUUCCUUGGUUUCCUAAUUAUUUGUCCCUCCUUACAUUACUUAGAUGGAGAUUUUUGCUAAAUCCAAACUAACAACAAAAUGUUCCAAAUUCAUUCCUAUAAAUAUUUCAUUCAGAUUUCAUUUGUUGGUUAAGCUUAAAAUCAUUACAUAAGUUAAUUCCUUCUAUAGUGCUAAUAUUUAUAAUUUCUCCAUAUAUUCAAUUACCAUAAGGGAUUUGACCAUUAAAUUAUUCUUUAAUCUUAAUCCUAACAUUUUUGAGAAAAGUCUUAAGUAAUUUUGAGAAAAAAAUUUCUUUCCAAAAGAUUGAUUAUUGUUUGAUCUUAACAUAACUUUCAUUAAAAAACAUGUCUUUCUACCAUCUAAAAUCUUGAAGUUUGGGACACUUAUGGUUGGUUAACAAAUUCACUAUUUUAUCUUUGAUCUUGGAUGGAUUUCUUAUGAAAUGUUUAGAGAUAGAGAAAAUUGGAGUAGUAGUUGCAUCCUCUAUAGCUUCUCCUUCUUCAUUCUUGACUACUCUAUUUUUUGAGUUAGUUUUGUAGGCACUUAUGAUAAAAAUCCUAUCUCUAUCUUCUAGUUAUGAGUUCGUUGAACUAUCCUUUUCAAUAGAUAAUAUAGUUAAUCCAUCUAAAAUUUCUUUUGACAUGGUAGAUCAUAAAUAAGAUUUUAUUUAUUUUAGUUUCAAAUAACUUAUUUAUGCAAAAGCAACCAUCACAUGUAUAUUUAAUAAUAUUCUAUACACAACACAUGCAUUUGACAAAUACAUGAAUUUGGAAGAGAAUUUAAUUUCUUUAUAUUAUUUAGUAUUGAAAUUGUAUUAUGCAUUCGUACUUGCAAAACCUUCUUUAAAACAUUUAACUCUGAAAAUAAAUUUAAACCAUCAAUAUGAGAUAGCUCAUCAUGUUACAUGAUCUAUUAAAUCUUGUUUAUUAUUACUGGAAUAUUCACUUAUUGUUGUUUUUCGUAAUUCAAUUAAUGUAUAUAUUUUCUCUUUUCUUUUUAGUUUUUCAUAUAUCAAUUUAUAUUUUCAAGCAAACAUAUUAUUAUUAUUUUUUUUAAAAAAAUACAAUAACAUAACACAACAAAACGUUACAAUGAAGCAUACAAUUUGGCACCACAAAUGAAAAUAAAUUAUAAACAAAAUUGAAAUAUUAAAUAAAUCAAAAUAUAAAAUUAGAACAAUAUAACUUAAUUUGGAGGAAUAUUUUAUUGUGCUUGAACUUUGCUUAAUAUGAACUUGAUAGAAAUUGAUUCCUUAUAUUUAGUACAAAGCAAGUAGAGACCUACUCCAAUAGUCUACUAGGAUAUAUUCAUGUAAAGGAGUCUCUUGUUAUCAUAAAGGAAACAUCUUAUAGUUUUCUUACGAAUUGAUAUGUUUGAUAAUUAUACAAUUAGUUUCCUAUAUGAAAUCUUUCUUUCUCUUUGUCUCUCUCUCUCUUUCUCUCUCUCUCUCUCUCUCUCUCUCUCUCUCUCUCUCUCUAUAUAUAUAUAUAUAUAUAUAUAUAUAGAUAGAUAGAUAUAUAUAAGUAAAGAGAAAGUAAGAGAGAGAUUUCAGUUGAGUGAUCUCUCUUUAGAUGUACUUGAGACUUAUGAUUUUAGAUUUCUAGGGUUGUAAUCUCCUUCAACAAUAGUAGAAGUUCUUCUUUGUUUUUGUUCGUGGAUGCAAGUUUUAGGCCUAACCAUGUAAAUUGGCGUGUGCUUUGUGUGUUUUUUAUUUUUGUUUUCUUAUUUUCUUCUCCCUAUUAUUAUUUUUCAUUAUUGUUUUUCAUAACAAACCGAUAUCAAAGCUUAGGUUAUUAGACCUAGUAUGGUAACAAAGUUUGAGGUUGAGAAGUGUGAUGAAAGAAAUGAUGUUUAAUUAUAACACAUUAAGAUAUAGGACAUGUUGGUUCAACAAGGGUUAUCCAAAGCAAUGAAAGGUAGAAAUGCUUUACCAACAAGGAUGUUUGAUGAAGAAAUGGAUGAACUUAUGGAGAAAGGGUGUAGUGCUACUUUAAUGUACUUGGUAAUGAGGUAUUUCGUGAGAGGCUACAAAAGAGGAUAUGAUUGCCAAGUUAUGAUUGAAGCUAAAAAGUCUAUAUAUGACAAAGUCUUUUACAAAUCAUUUCUAUUAGAAGAAACAAUUCUUCACGUUGUAGAUGAAAAUGGGUACAUCUUUUAAAGAUGGACCACCUUGAUGAGUUUCAUAAAACUAUUAUGAAGUUAAAGAUUAUUGAUUUUUGAAUUAAUGAUGAAGACCAGAUCUUAAUUUUGAUACAUUCUCCAAUGAAUUCCCAUGACCACUUUAUGGAUAUCAUGAUGUAUGGCAUAGAUAAUCUCUCUAUAGAGGAUGUUAGGGCAAUGGUGAGCUCAAAGGAGUUGGAAAAGAGAGCAUAUGAGAGUAGAGAAGAAAGCUAAAGUGAAGUUUUUAAUGUUAGAGGUAGAACAAAACAAAUAAUAACAAUGAUAAGAAAGGUUGAUCUAGAUCGAAAUCAAAGUCCAAGGGAAACAACAAGUAUUUCAAUUACCACAAAGAAGAACAUUAUAUGAGAAAUUGUGCAAAACAUAAAGAAAAAGAAAACGACAAAGCUUCUAAUUUUGGUGAUGCAAUAGUUGUAGAAGAAAAUCCAUAUACUAUAAAUAUCCUUUCAGUUAUUGUUGGUAACUUAGGUGAUGAGUGGAUCCUUGAUUCAAGGUGCUCCUAUCAUAUGUCUCCCAAUAAGGAUUAGUUUAGUACCUAUAAACUUAUAAAUGGAAAGAAGUUUUCAUAGGAAACCAUGUAGCUUGUAAGGUUGUUGGAAUUGGCAUAAUUCAAAUUUUGAUGCUUGAUGACAUUGUAAGGACAUUAACCGAUAGAAGCAUGUUCUAGAUUUGAAGAAAUUUUUUUGUUUCUUUAGGGACACUUAACUCCAAUGGAUGAACUAUAAUGAUGGAGGCGUAAUUGUGAGAAUUUACAAUUUCAAAUGGAGUUCUUGAUGUGAUGAAUAGAGAGAGAAAAAAAACCUAAUAUCUUUAUACAUUAUAAAUAGCAUUGUUACAAGUGUAACUAUAGUUUCAAUCUUAAAAUUAACUUGAGAGACUAUGAAAAUAUAGAAUAUAUGGUUUAGGCAUAUGAGUGAGAGGGUUGAAAAUUUUGAGUAAAUGAGGUUUGCUUGGUGGGCAUAAAAGGGGAGAACUUGAUUUUUGUGAGAAUUAUGUUUAUGGGAAGCAAUGCAAGUUUAAAUUUAGCGUAGCUAUUCAUGAGACUAAAGUUACUUUGAAUUACAUUCAUUUAGAUCUUAGGGCCCUUUUCAAUUUGUAUCACAUGGUGGUUGAAGAUAUAUGUUGGUCUUCAUUGAUGAUUACAACAUAAGAAUGACGUCUUCAAGAAGUUUAAGUAAUAAAAAGUUAUCAUUGAGAAAACAGACAACAAAAAAGAUCAAGCGCUUGAGAAUUGACAAUGAAAUGGUAAGGGAAAAAGUCCAAUGAGUUUGCAAGAAUGAAGGUAUUGUGAUACAUUACAAAAUCAAACAUACUCCAUAAUAAAAUGAUGUUGCAUAAUGGAUGAAUAGAACUCUUCUAGAGAGAGCAUGUUUUGAAUGACUUUCAAGUUAAAGUAGCUAAUUCAACUUAUUAUCUUCUUAAUACGUCUCCUUUAAUUUCUAUUAAUUAUAGAACUUUUGAAGAGAUAUGGUUUAGUUCUUCUACUAAUUUUGAAAAGUUCAAAAUUUUUUAUUGUCCUUCUUAUGAUCAUGUAAAUAAAGGUAAAUUAGAUCCAAGAACUCGGAAGUGUAUAUUUUUAGGAUAUGAAAUAGAGUAAACGGGUACAAGUUGUGGUGCUUUAAUUCAAAAUCUUCCAAAUUUUUUAUUACUAUGGAUGUGACCUUUGUAAGUCUAUAAUAUUGAAACUUAAGAAUGAGCAAUUUGAUAAACAAAAGAAUCUUAGUGGGAGAGAAAAGUUGAGUUUGAGUCUAGAGCUUUAGGAACUAUAGAAAACAUGUUUUAGUAAAUCAAGAUAAAGAAGAGCUACAACAUCUUGACAAUAAAGAAAAUGCAUCAUAAGAGAAACAACACACUUUGCCUAGUGAUUGAAAAAGGAGGCAAAUUAAACCACAUAAGAUGCAUGGUUAUACAAAUUGGGUGUCUCAUGCACUUACUAUGUCAGAAUGAGGAGUCUCAUGCUUAUCAUGAAGCCAUCAUUGGUAGAGAGUCUGCAAAGUGAAUCAUCACUAUGAAUGAGAAGAUUAGAUAUCUUUAAAAGAACCAUACUUGGCAACUAGUUGAGAAGCCUAAGGAGCAAAAGGUUGUUGGGUUGCAAGUGGGCCAUUAAGGAAAGGAAUUUCAAGGAUGGAGGAUGCUCGAUGACAAAGGGAUACACAUAAAAGGCCAAUGUGGACAUCAAUGAAGUGUUUUCUUUAGUUGGGAAACAUAACUUAAUCAAGGUGUUAAUUUCUAUUACUACUUUAUUUGAUUUAUAAACAAAGUACUUUUGUGUUAAGACUACUUUUCGACAUGAUGAUUUCGAAGAGCAUAUUUAUAUGCAUUAAUUUGAGGGAUUUAUUAUUGGGAAACGAAGGUCAUGCUUAUUUUUUGAAGAAAAACUCUUUAUCUCUUAAAGCAAUCUCCUAGGCAAUGGUAUAAAAGGUUUCGUACUUUUAUGAUUGGUAAUGACUAGUGUAGAAGUGGGUGGGAUAAAGGUUUUCAUCGAAUUGUCUAAUGGUUUAUUUAUUUAUUGUAAUAUGUUGAUGACAUGUUAAUUGUCGACAAGAAUAUGUCUGAGAUCAAAAGGCUAAAAACUUAAUUUGAUUGCAAAUAACAUUGAAAUCAAUAAUUCAAUAAAUUUAUCCUCCAAUGGGACAUUUACUCAUUGAGUUCAACAGAAUAAUUUUACUUUGGUUAUAUCUCUUUUGCUUUUGAAUGGUUACAUGGUCUACUUAAACUUAAUUGGAUUUUCUACUUAAUUGUAUGUGAAAAAGGUGCAUGAUUUGAUCUCAUUCUCAUUAAUUUUUACUUAAUUAUUUAUUAUUACAGUUCCAACAUGUUUGGAGACCUAUUUUCAUGUUAGUUCAUGUGUGUUUGGUUGUUUUAUUUCAUUGUAGGUUUCUUGGAUGAAUUUUUUCAUGGUUAUGCAUUACAAAAGAUGUUUUGGGUGCUCAAAGGAGUAUGGGAAGUUGAAUGAACAUUUUGGAUGCUUAAGCCCUCAAAGUUGCAUGAAGCCAUCCUUGAGGACUCAAGUGCUCUUAGUUCCAUCCAUCUCCCUUUCUCAGGCUUGAAGCAUUGAAGCGCCAAUCUAGAUAAUUAAGCAUUGCAUUGAGCUCUCCCACAUGUUCUUUUACCAUAAAUAGCUCUUUCUCAUGUCAUUUUCACCAUUUCAUACAUUUUAAAGGGUUCGAGUGGCCAAGUUCAUGUGUUAUCUUCAUUGUUGCUCAUCUCUAUGUUCCAAUUUCAAAGAAUUAUUAGUCUUGGGGGUUCCUAAGUACUUUGACUAGUUUACUUUUUCAUUGCCUAAGACUUGCUUGGUAUGUCCUAGUGUACCUACUAGUGUUGGGUCCCUCAUACCCAUCAUCUUCUAGUUUUGUAUCUAAGCUUAGUUCCCCAAUUGAGGGGACCAUUUAAGGUUGAUAACCCUUUUUUAAUUCUUUUUCCUUGAUUUUGAGCAUAAAGAGCUACAAUAUGUUUGUUUUCAUGAUUAUUGAGUCGUGGUUGCAUGAGAGCCCUCAUUAGUAUCCUUAAGAUAUAUUGUGGUCCCAUAGAUUUUUCAGGAUUAUCAUUCGAAUUCUCUAUAUUCACAUUCUAUGGUCACGUAUUCCCAUUAUGUUUGGAUAUUCUAUUUAAACAUUCAUUUUGUUUGCCCAUGCAUCUUUUUUCCUUCCAUGAUAGAUUAUUCUGAUCUUACCUUACUCCAUUAAUCAAGCUUUACAUGUGCAACCUUUCACAGAGGUCAUUCUUCAUUUGUUGGAUGAGGUUAAUUUAGAGUUAGAAUUAGUUAGCGCUAGCUUGCUAACCUAUUUAGGGGGGCACAAGAGCUUCCUAUGUUUUCCUUAAUUGAACUCAUUAGAUUCCCUAGUUUGUAGUUCAUUUUAUCCAUUCUAUUCUUAGUGGCCAACCUACUGAUAUAGCUACUAUGAUGAUAGAUAUUAGGGUUAGCUAUCGAAAGUCAACUCAACCUAGAAGUUUACAAUUUGCACUCAUCAUUUCCCAUAUAUUGGUGGAUAUUGUGUUUGACAUCUAUGUGACUUCUAGGUGCUUGACUAUUAUGCUCCAUUGAUGAGAGUUCCUAAUCCAAGCAUGUGAGUCAUACCCUUAACUGUGAUUAGUGCUUUGACUAUUGAUGAGGUAGAUGUGAUUGAUGAGUUGGAACUGAGUUAUAAGACCUCACACUCAUGGCUUGGGAGUCAAGGUCAUCAUGCAAGCAAUUCUAAAGCUAUAAUAGGGUUAUCCCAGCCUGUGGAUGGAUUCUCUAAUUUGGGUUUUAACAUCAUUGAUCAACUUCACCUUUAUGUUGAUUGUAUUAAUUGACUUUGUGGCCAUCUUAACUCAUAGAUUAAUGAGAUUUAUGAUUCAUCUCAGGAUGUGGACGACCAACUAGCAUCUACUUUAGCGUAGAUCAUGUUUUCUCUUGGCUCAAGCUUUAGUUUUCUACCACCACCUUCAAACAACUCUAGCAAGAUUUUUUAGAAUGAUUAACUCUAUGGUUAGGAUUUUUGGAUGUAUGAUAGACUUAUUUAUAGAAUUUCUUAUGAUGAUAUUUUGAGCUCAUUAUCUGUCUAUAUAUUUGCAUUCAUCUUUUGAUUAUCAUUGUGUUAUCAUUUAUCAAUAACUUUUGUGAUAGAAGUAUGCGUCACUAUUUUUAGUUCAAGAUAUUUGAUCAUUGGAUUAGUUUGUUAUAUUUGGUUGAUUCUAAUUGCAUUAUGAUAUUGUUUGUUUUUCUUUCCACACAUUACUUUUCAUAGAUAUUAAUGUUUUAGUGUGUGCAAAUCACAGGUUCCAUAGCUCAUGAAUUUUCCAAAUGGGUUGCAAAUAUUUCAUAUUAGUGAUUACAAUGUUUGUUUGAGGUAUAAGUGAUAUUGAGUGAUUUUUAUAAUCAACCUAGAUUAAACAUGUAAGUAUAGUUAAGUUCAUUGAGGAUAAUGACAUAAAAGUUAUAAAUUGGAUUCUUAUAGAAAUAAAAAAUAUAAUUGUUUUGCACACAAAUAUUAAAUUGGAUGUUAUGUUAUAUAAAAAAAAGAAAUUGAAAAAAAAAAAUAGUGAGAGUGCUUAAGCACCCUCAAAGGCUACUAAAGCACUCCUAGUACUGAAGCACCAUUCUAAGGUGUUCAAGUACUGCUUGAGAUCAAUUUUACUCGGUUUUGAGGAUUUGUUGAUGUUUUAAUUCUAAUUUUUGUAAAAAUUGAUUUCUAAAUAUUUACAAGUGCACUAGGGCUUACACAAUAUAUGUGUGUGUGCUUGUGUAUGUGUGUAUAUAUAUAUAUACCUAAUAUUGAUCAAUUUUUCUCUUUAGGUGUCUAUGAUUUAGGUUAGAAUUCCUUGCCUUUAACUUGAUACUGUCAAAUUGUUUCAACAUUGUUUGUUUUUUUAUAUUGUGGUAAAAAGAUCACAUUCCCUUAAAGUGUUAAAGAACCCACUAAGGAACACAAAAAUGUUAUGGACAUGAGAGUAGGUGUGUGUAUUAUAGUAAGUAUCAAGGAGUAACAACUACUAUGUGUACCUAUUUCUUAACAUAUAGUUAGUGGAUUUUAGCUUUGUAGUCUAUGACCCCAUGGUCUUUACAUUUACAAAGUUUCUAAGGGCCUUUGUGGGUUGUUUUCCACAUAAAUCUCAUUUCCUCUUGUGUGAUUGAUUGUCCUUUGCUUUCAUUGAUUAAUUAUAUCUUAAUAAAAUAAGUAAACAAAUAAUAAUUAAUAUUUUUUGUGCGAUUAUAUAAAGAAUUCCCUAUUCAUCCCUACCCUAUCUCCCCAUCUAAGAAAUUCUUGCAAUGCUAUUGCAAUUCAUUUUUGCUAAUUUUCCUUUUUGUCAUUAUCAUGAUUAGUUACUUUGAGCACUCAUGGUUCACCCACCACAUUAAUUUUCAUGGUUGUUAUUCAUCACCAUCACUAUUCAUUAAGUAUAAGACCUUAUAUCAAGUAUAGGAUAGAACCAUGUUAUAGUAGUACUAACAAAAAUUGCAUGAUGAGUAAGCAAAACUAGGUAGUAAGCAAAAGAUUUAAUUAGGUAUGAAUAAAAAACUCAUAUAUUAACUAUCAAAAAAUAAUAAAAAAUAAAAAUAAAACAUCUUAAUCAAAUCUUUAGAAUAGAGUAAAACCUCCUUUAUAAAUGGUCAAAACUACUAUAUAUCUAAUUUAUACUAUUGCAUUUCGUAUCAUAUUAAUUAGAACAAAGUGGAAGAUUUCUCUUGUCAUUGUUUGAAUCCGUAACACAAAGGAAAAUUUUCCUUUUAAAUUUUUUUGCUUCAAAAGCACUAAAUUCUUAAUUUGUUGUCAAUUUAUCUUCUAAUAUUCAAGUCUUAGAAUAUGCAAUACCAUUGUUCAUGUAUUAAUACCAUUGAAGAAUAGUUCUUGCAAAUAUAUUGUUUUCAUCACCUUAUCAUAAAAAUAAAAAUAAAAACAAAAAAAAAAAGUGAAAAAUACCAUGAGGAGAAAUAAUUUACACAAAGCAAAAAGAAAAAAAAAAUACAAGAACUUAUGGUCUUACAUAUAACCAUAACUAUAGUGACAACUUGCUCCCCAUGAAUACAAAGGCAAAUAAAAACCUCCCUAAACUAUUUUUUUUUUUAUCCUUUUGGCAAACUUUGAUUUAGAAAAGAUAAUUACAAUAUAAUUUAUUAUUAGUUAAGUCACUUUGUUGAUAUCCCUUUACUAAAAAAACUAAGUCAAAAAGAAAAAAAAAAUUACUCCUAUAGUAUUAAAAACCUAAACUCAAGUAAGAGACCUGCUUCAAAAUAUAAUAAAUUUAAUCAGUAAGUGAGUUUUAUGUGCAUCACUAUGUGAAAUUAGAUAGAAAUAGAAUUUAUCAAUUGUAAUUAAUAUAUUUUGGUAACAUACACUCUUUUUUAGUUAGAAGAAAGAUGAAAUCCAAUUAUAUUUAAUAAAGCAAUAAAACAAUAACUUCUAUAUCUAUAUAGUUUAACCAUCAUAAAAUGGUCAAUAUACUCAUAUGUUGUUUCCAUGAUAGUUUACCUAUUUUUAAUUUACACUCGUACAUUUGUAUGUUGAAGUUUAUUCACAAUAACAAAACAUAAAGAUAGUUUUACAAAGAUAAAAGAUAUUUAAACUUAAUGAACUUUUUUUUCAAUUGUUUUUGUUUUCUUUUUUCUUUUUAUUGCAUUUAUCUCUUAUUGUUGGUUAGAGUCUCAAACCUAAGGGAACCAAAGUUUGACUACGUCAUGACCAAGACUAGUUUAGUAUUAUAUAAGUCAAUAGAAAGUAUAAUUGGAACAACUUUUUGGGAGAUGAACAUUCAAACAUGGAGUGUUCCUAGUGUCCUCAAUAUUCAAACAUUCCCUAUAGGACAUUCAAAUGUAGGUUAAUUUUAUGUUAUUUUCAUUUUGCAUUUCAUAGUUUUUGGAGGUAAUAAUUGCUCUUCAAAUCUUAACACUAGGUUUUUAGUAUAAAUACUAAGUUUCUUAAUCGUUCAACAACAUUCUUUAAAUACCUUCUUGCAAAGUAGAAGUUUAAGAAUUUGAUUCACUAAAGAAUCAAUACUAUUUUUGAGGUAGUCUAUUAAUGAAUUAUGAGGGAGUGUUAUGUUGGUGAUCUAAAAGAAGAGAGUAGGUGUUAAUGAUAUAAAAUCCUACUGAGUAGCAACAUCUACUUAGGUAAACCUAUGUAUCUUCUUCCCAUAUUUAAUGAAUUAUUUAUGGUCGAUAGACCAUCCAUUGGUUUUUAGACCUAAGGAUUUUUAGGUAGUUUGUUAACAUAAAUCUUAUAUUCAUUAUCUAAUUGAUUUUUGUUGUGCAUGGGAUUAAUCUAUUUUUACUAUUGAGGUAUCUAUGAUGACAAAUAAAAAAUCAAGUUAUAGAUUAUAACUUUAGAGAUCUCUUACUUAAACCACCUAUUUACCUUCUCUAGAGAAUUCUAUAUGUUAAGACAAGUUCUUUCAACUAAUAACAAAUACUACAUAAGUUUUACCCACUAUUAGUUUUCUUCAUGCAUUUUGACAAAUUUAUUAGUGUGUAAAUCCAAUAUGAUGUAAAAUAAUAUGAAUCAACGAUGAAUUAAAUUAGAAAAUCUCCAAAUCAUUAAAUUACUUAUCUAUUAUAACUUUGAAUUAUACAUACACAAAUUAAAAUAAUUUUUUAGAAAAAAAAAUUGCAAGUUUUACAAACAAUUGACUGGUAUAAUUUCCAAUUUAAUUAUAAAUAACAUUGAAAUGAAUAAUUCAAUAAAUUUUUACUACAAUUAGACAUUAGUUUAUUAAGUUCAAUAGAAUAAUAUGUUUGUAUUAUUAGUUAAACUGUAAGUCAAAAUUAUUUUGAAUUACCAUUGAAAUUAAAUAUGUAAAAUUCAUACCUAUUUCCAACUUCGCUCAUACCAUGAAUUUUCUCCCCAUGUGAGGCUACAUUAAAAAAGAAUUCAAAUGUAAACUUGUUAACUUUGUAGGGUCAUUAAAAAAUUGAUAACCAAGAACGAAAUACAAAAUCACAAAGAAGAAAACAACUUUGUCAUUUAAGGAAAAAAGGAAAAGGAAAAAAGAAAGAGAAAAUGGCAAGUUAACAAUUGACGUCAAAAAAAUAAAAAAAUAAAAAUGGUAUGGAUGUCAUACAUUACCAAAUCAUGCUUUGAUAUGUUAGGAUCUUUGGUUCAUUUUAACUGCAAUCUUAAAUAAAUUCAUAUUUCUAUUACUACCCAUGAUAAAAAAUAAUUUUGUAGGUUCAUUUUUUAAAACAUAAAAGGGUCCAGGAACAAUUUAAAUUGCAUAACACAAGGGAAAAUAUUCUAAGUAAUGUAUAUAAUUUAAGAUAUUUGACUACAUCUUUUAGGAAAAGAAAAUUCUAAUGGCUUAGCAUCUAAGAAAAUUGCAAGUAGUAUUUUACAACUUUAUGAUAAAUAUAUAUAUAUAUAUAUAUAUAUAUAUAUAUAUAUAUAUAUAUAAUUCAAUUACUAAAUAUUUCAAUUUCAGUUAAAAAUGCAACGUUAAAAUUUAAAAUGUGUUCAAAUUCUUAAAGUUGAUUGUUACACUCAUCCUAUAACCUAAAUUCAUAAAGUUUUUUACAUUAUUUAGUAAUUUAACUAUUGUGCACCUUAUUUUAAAAUGGAAAAAAAAAAUCAUUUAGGUGCAAGAGUGUUCUUGAGAUUUAGUAAAAUAAUAAGUUACUCAUACAUAAUACAACCUAUGAAAGUAAAGUAAUUUUAGUUUCUUAAGAUACCUCAAAUUAAAUGACGGAUCCCUACUUGAAAUUGAGAGUUCGUUUAAUGAAAUGCUAAAAAUACAAACUUCCACAUGGAGUCAAUUUCUAGUGAAAAUCUCCUUGAAAAUUGUUCUAUUAGAUUGUUGGAUGAUAAUGUAUUGUUUCUCUAUAAAGCAAAAGGUCCUUCACGCAAUCUAUUAUUGAGAUUUCUUCUCACCAUCUACCUAUUGAUCAUGAGGAAUACCCUCUUUGUUAGGAAACCAACUUAUAAACCAUUAAUGAUAACUAAUAUAAGUUCUAAGCAAGUUUAUUAUAUGAAAACACAUAAAAAAAAGGGGUCCAUAAUGGUACUCAUUCUAUUUUGGAAAAGUAAAAUGGAUUGCAUAAAAUAGAAGGUAUAGAUGAAUAUCGAUGAUGAUGCAAAGGAAAUAACAAUAGCAUAGGUUGUGAACACAACAAAGAGUGAUUGAUGAGGAUAUGACAAUGAGUUUAUCAUCCAAACUUUAAAAGUAAAGAAAUAGACUUUAAUACUUCCAAUAAUAUUUGUUCAUUGACCUAGUGUAGCAAUGUUUAUCAUACUUGAAUAUAUAUACUAAGAAAAUAUUGGAUAUUGACACAUAUAGUUAUAAGAAGCUAAUAAUAAUAAAAACAAUGGUUCUCCAAUUAAAAAUUUAUGCAUUUAGUAUAGAGCUAAAACUUGUUAAAUUGUAUAGGAUACAAUGUUUAUAUAUGAAAUAUAUAAUUUGUAGUAAUACAACUAAUGUCAAAUUUAAGACUAAAUUGAAGACCACCAUAAAUUUGUCUAUUAGGUUUUUUUUUAUUAUGAAGAAUACACAAUAUUAGAAGCAUCUAUUAACAAACUUGAUAAAAAAAAUUCAUGGUGGACAAAAACUAUUGAUCUUAGAAAACAUAUAUUUCAAUUAUUUUUAGGAAAAAUUAUUAUUAUUAUUAUUAUUAUUAUUAUUAUUAUUAUUAUUAUAUCAAAAUUAAGAACUAAGGUGAUGUUUGGUGGAAUUGAAAUCCCAAAGUGAAACAUGUUUUGGUAUCAUAUGAAAUUUUAGAGCUAAAAUAUACUAUAAAUUUAAAAUUUAAUCAUCUUUAUUCUUUUAUCUUACAAUUAUGCUUUAGAACUCUUAUUAAAACCUUAUUGAUAUGAUAAUAGAUGUAUAGAUAUGUUCUAGCUAGGCAUAGAAGAUCGUAUAGAAAAAUCUAAUGAGAUAAUCCACUAUGUUUAAAUUUUUCUACAACCUACAAUUUUUUGAACUUCAAUUAUGAAAUACUACUAGUUAUGUCUCAUUAUAAUGAUUAUUUUAAUGUUUAUAACCUCUAGUCAAUUGCCCAACUUUUUAUGUGUUCCUUUUACCUCAUAUGCCCUUUGAUAUUGAUCAUGCAUGUGUUAUAACUCUCAUCCCUCUUGUCCUUGUGAAUUUCUCAUAAGCACCAUCCCUUUUGCACAAUGGAUUUAGAAGUUUUCCAAAGACAUAAUUAUUUCUUAGCUAUUUUUAUCUUCGUCCAAUAUCAAUGUUCAUUUCUCUUGAAAUAUGUUUUUUUCAAACCAUGUAUAGGUUAUAUCUAAUAGUGAAAUCUGAAAAAAUGUUUUGAUUAAAAUAAAAUCUAUCAAUUCUUGGGACUUAUUGUUCACAAAACCCUUAUUGAACUGAAUGUUCUAAAAAGAUUGUACUUUGGGAUGGAUGACAAUAAAGUUGAAUUGAGGUGUCGACCAAUUCUCCUUUGCAUCAUUUUAAGAACAAUUUCAAAACUCAAUUUAAAAAACUCUCUAUCAAAAUGUUUAAUAAAGCUCAAAUGUUGGAGCUUUAAAACACUUGGUGUAGAAUGUAGUAUAAAUUUAUAAUUUUGUUUGAGUGAAAUUUCUUUUUAAUAGGCACUUUUGAUUAAUUAAAACAAUUGUAAGAAAUAUCUAUGAGAUAAUCUUAUACUUUUCCAAAUCAUUUUUGGAAAAGAUAAUCUUAUACUUUUUACAAUGAUUUUUUAUCCUUAUCAAUUUUUUGAAGAAAUAUAAACCUAUGGUAUUUACAAUUUAGUAGCUUUAGGAAUUACAAACAUAUAUUUUUCACAUCUACUUGCACAUAAUAAAUGUAAAAAGCCACACACUUUGAACAAGUUUAGUAACCAAGAUAUUUCAGUUAAGGCAAAUUAGAGCCAAAGAUAACAAAAAAAAAAAAAUAUUAAACUCAACAAACUCUUUUUAGCAACAUUUAGCAAAUAUUUCUUACCCUGUUUCAAUAGCUAAGAUUUUCUCUUUCUAUCCCCCUUAAUUAAAAUUAUCAUUUUGUUUUAACAUCACAUUCUUUUUCCUUAGGAUGUACAACUAUUAGCAUCUAUUCUAUUUCUUUCUAAGCCAAUUAGAAAAAGGAUAACCCCAAUUAAUUGAGAAUGGAAAGGAGACAAAUAACAUAUAGUGGAUCAAUUUCAAAGUGAUAGCUUAUAGUUAUGUAAUAGAAGUGAGAAGAGGAGAAAAAAAUGAAAUUGUACUGUAAUUAUGCAUAAAUUUCUAACUUCAUUCAACAUAAUUUUCUAAAGAAAUGAUAUAUAUGGAAUCUCAUGUUAAGAUUAAAAAUCAACAACAAUAGAGGUUGGAAAUAGUAAAAGACAUACUCAUAAAUCUAGAAAUUUUUAUAUUUUACCUCAAACUGAAUUAUCAAAUAAAAACCCUUGAUGUAAAGUUGAAUCCUACCAUUUCUUGCUUGAAAAAAACCAAUGAUCUUUCAUCAUAGCACAAGUCCACACUAGUGUAGGGUUGUGUGGGCAAAAGAACAAGAGAGGAAGAGAACAUAUGGU
This 16784-nucleotide long non-coding RNA is filed under the name Vitis vinifera (wine grape). RNAcentral describes it as "long non-coding RNA (VVIN_LNC004961)". The record is from RNAcentral. Lineage: Eukaryota; Viridiplantae; Streptophyta; Magnoliopsida; Vitales; Vitaceae.